GGGGAAUCUUCCGCAAUGGACGAAAGUCUGACGGAGCAACGCCGCGUGAGUGAUGACGGCCUUCGGGUUGUAAAGCUCUGUUAAUCGGGACGAAUGGUUCUUGUGCGAAUAGUGCGAGGAUUUGACGGUACCGGAAUAGAAAGCCACGGCUAACUACGUGCCAGCAGCCGCGGUAAUACGUAGGUGGCAAGCGUUGUCCGGAAUUAUUGGGCGUAAAGCGCGCGCAGGCGGAUUGGUCAGUCUGUCUUAAAAGUUCGGGGCUUAACCCCGUGAUGGGAUGGAAACUGCCAAUCUAGAGUAUCGGAGAGGAAAGUGGAAUUCCUAGUGUAGCGGUGAAAUGCGUAGAUAUUAGGAAGAACACCAGUGGCGAAGGCGACUUUCUGGACGAAAACUGACGCUGAGGCGCGAAAGCCAGGGGAGCGAACGGGAUUAGAUACCCCGGUAGUCCUGGCCGUAAACGAUGAGUGCUAGGUGUUAGACCCUUUCCGGGGUUUAGUGCCGUAGCUAACGCAUUAAGCACUCCGCCUGGGGAGUACGACCGCAAGGUUG
Molecule: ribosomal RNA, 549 nt
Filed under: uncultured bacterium
Lineage: Bacteria
Description: bacterial SSU rRNA
Rfam family: Bacterial small subunit ribosomal RNA
Source: RNAcentral